RNAcentral lists this transfer RNA (102 nucleotides) under Candidatus Woesearchaeota archaeon. RNAcentral describes it as "tRNA-Lys". It matches the Rfam family "tRNA". Rfam says of the family: Transfer RNA (tRNA) molecules are approximately 80 nucleotides in length. Their secondary structure includes four short double-helical elements and three loops (D, anti-codon, and T loops). RNAcentral also lists the same sequence under 1 other name. The record is from RNAcentral. Lineage: Archaea; Nanobdellati; Candidatus Woesearchaeota.
GGGCCGUUAGCUCAACCUGGCUAGAGCAUCUGGCUUUUAACCAGAGGGUUGCGGGUUCAAAAGUUCACAGUUUUGCUGUGGCUGAACGUCCCGUACGGCCCG